RNAcentral lists this ribosomal RNA (1411 nucleotides) under Apristurus albisoma. Its description in RNAcentral is "partial 16S ribosomal RNA". It matches the Rfam family "Bacterial large subunit ribosomal RNA", at positions 371 to 2514 of the family's 2925-position model. The record is from RNAcentral. Lineage: Eukaryota; Metazoa; Chordata; Chondrichthyes; Carcharhiniformes; Scyliorhinidae.
ACCUUAAAGCUAGCCUACACAACCAAUUUAACCAGACCUUAUAAAUCUAAUUUACACUUUUAACCCUUUACUUAAAACAUUUUAACUUUUUAGUAUGGGCGACAGAACGAAAUCUCAGCGCAAUAGCUCAUGUACCGCAAGGGAAGGCUGAAAAAGAAAUGAAAUAAAUUAUUAAAGUAAUAAAAAGCAGAGACUCCACCUCGUACCUUUUGCAUCAUGGUUUAGCUAGAAAAACUAGGCAAAAAGACUUUAAGUCUACCCCCCCGAAACUAAACGAGCUACUCCGGAGCAGCAUUAUUAGAGCCAACCCGUCUCUGUGGCAAAAGAGUGGGAAGACUUCCGAGUAGCGGUGAAAAGCCUACCGAGUUUAGUGAUAGCUGGUUACCCAAGAAAAGAACUUUAGUUCUGCAUUAAUUUUUUUAAAACUAAAUAAGAACUUCUAAUUAAAGUAAAAUAUAAGAAUUAAUAGUUAUUUAGAAGAGGUACAGCCCUUCUAAAUUAAGAUACAACUUUUAAAGGUGGAAAAUGAUCAUAAUUAUUAAGGCUUUACCCCCCAGUGGGCCUAAAAGCAGCCACCUGAAAAGCAAGCGUCGCAGCUCCAGCCUUACACAAGCCAAUAAUUUAGGUAUUUAUUCAUACCCCCCUUAGUCCUAUUGGGUUAUUUUAUAAAAAUAUAAAAGAACUUAUGCUAAAAUGAGUAAUAAAGAGAAUAUAUCUCUCCCGACACAAGUAUACAUCAGAGAGAAUUAAAUCACUGAUAAUUAAACGACCCCAAAUUGAGGCCAUUAUAAACUAAUAUUAUUUACUAGAAAAGCCUAUUUUAUUGCUCGUUAAUCCUACUCAGGGGUGUCUUUAGGAAAGAUUAAAAGAAAAUAAAGGAACUCGGCAAAUACAAGCUCCGCCUGUUUACCAAAAACAUCGCCUCUUGUUAAACCAUAAGAGGUCCCGCCUGCCCUGUGACAAUGUUCAACGGCCGCGGUAUUUUGACCGUGCAAAGGUAGCGUAAUCACUUGUCUUUUAAAUAAAGACCCGUAUGAAAGGCAUCACGAGAGCUUAACUGUCUCUAUUUUCUAAUCAAUGAAAUUGAUCUAUUCGUGCAGAAGCGAAUAUAAUAACAUUAGACGAGAAGACCCUAUGGAGCUUCAAACACUUAGACUAAUUAUGUAAUUUUUUUUCAUCUGAGGGUAUAAACAAAAAUAUAAUAUUUCUAGUUUAACUGUUUUUGGUUGGGGUGACCAAGGGGAAAAACAAAUCCCCCUUAUCGACCAAGUACUCAGUACUUAAAAAUUAGAGCGACAGCUCUAAUUAAUAAAACUUUUAUCGAAAAAUGACCCAGGAUUUCCUGAUCAAUGAACCAAGUUACCCUAGGGAUAACAGCGCAAUCCUUUCCCAGAGUUCCUAUCGACGAAAG